UGGGGAAUAUUGGACAAUGGGCGAAAGCCUGAUCCAGCCAUGCCGCGUGUGUGAAGAAGGUCUUCGGAUUGUAAAGCACUUUAAGUUGGGAGGAAGGGCAGUAAGCGAAUACCUUGCUGUUUUGACGUUACCGACAGAAGAAGCACCGGCUAACUCUGUGCCAGCAGCCGCGGUAAUACAGAGGGUGCAAGCGUUAAUCGGAAUUACUGGGCGUAAAGCGCGCGUAGGUGGUUCGUUAAGUUGAAUGUGAAAGCCCCGGGCUCAACCUGGGAACUGCAUCCAAAACUGGCGAGAUAGAGUAGGGCAGAGGGUGGUGGAAUUUCCUGUGUAGCGGUGAAAUGCGUAGAUAUAGGAAGGAACACCAGUGGCGAAGGCGACCACCUGGGCUCAUACUGACACUGAGGUGCGAAAGCGUGGGGAGCAAACAGG
Molecule: ribosomal RNA, 429 nt
Filed under: Pseudomonadota bacterium
Lineage: Bacteria; Pseudomonadati; Pseudomonadota
Description: Proteobacteria bacterium partial 16S ribosomal RNA
Rfam family: Bacterial small subunit ribosomal RNA
Source: RNAcentral